Molecule: ribosomal RNA, 468 nt
Filed under: uncultured bacterium
Lineage: Bacteria
Description: partial 16S ribosomal RNA
Rfam family: Bacterial small subunit ribosomal RNA
Source: RNAcentral
GACGAACGCUGGCGGCGUGCUUAACACAUGCAAGUCGAACGGAAAGGCCCUGCUUUUGUCGGGGUCUCGCGUUGCGAAAGGGUGGGUAACAAGGGAGUAACCUUCCCUCUAAUUUGGGAUAACUUCAGGAAACUGGGGCUAAUAACGGAGAGUAGCUCCUGCGGCGCGGUGUGUGUUGGAGAGUGUCUGCGGUUGGGGGUGGACUCGCGGGUUAUCAGCUUGUUGGCGGGGUAGUGGCUUACCAAGGCAUUGACGGGUAGCCGGCCUGAGAGGGGGACCGGCCACAUUGGGACUGCGAUACGGGCCAGACGUCGACGGGAGGCAGCAGUGGGGAAUAUUGCACAAUGGGCGGAAGCCUGAUGCAGCAACGCCGCGUGCGGGAUGACGGCCUUCGGGUUGUAAACCGCUUUCGCCUGUGACGAAGCGUGAGUGACGGUGAUGGGUAAAGAAGCACCGGCUAACUACGUG